Molecule: ribosomal RNA, 497 nt
Filed under: uncultured bacterium
Lineage: Bacteria
Description: partial 16S ribosomal RNA
Rfam family: Bacterial small subunit ribosomal RNA
Source: RNAcentral
GAUGAACGCUGGCGGCGUGCCUAAUACAUGCAAGUCGAGCGAACAGACGAGGAGCUUGCUCCUCUGACGUUAGCGGCGGACGGGUGAGUAACACGUGGAGAACCUACCUAUAAGACUGGGAUAACUUCGGGAAACCGGAGCUAAUACCGGAUAAUAUAUUGAACCGCAUGGUUCAAUAGUGAAAGACGGUUUUGCUGUCACUUAUAGAUGGAUCCGCGCCGCAUUAGCUAGUUGGUAAGGUAACGGCUUACCAAGGCAACGAUGCGUAGCCGACCUGAGAGGGUGAUCGGCCACACUGGAACUGAGACACGAUCCAGACUCCUACGGGACGCAGCAGUAGGGAAUCUUCCGCAAUGGGCGAAAGCCUGACGGAGCAACGCCGCGUGAGUGAUGCAGGUCUUCGGCUCGUAAAACUCUGUUAUUAGGGAAGAACAAAUGUGUAAGUAACUAUGCACGUCUUGACGGUACCUACUCAGAAAGCCACGGCUAACUACGAG